This 593-nucleotide long non-coding RNA is filed under the name Manihot esculenta (cassava). RNAcentral's name for it is "long non-coding RNA (MESC_LNC011802)". The record is from RNAcentral. Lineage: Eukaryota; Viridiplantae; Streptophyta; Magnoliopsida; Malpighiales; Euphorbiaceae.
GCGGCCGAAUGAACCUUCGGCUGCCGAACCUGAGUUCAUCCAGAACUCAGCUUCAACGGCAAACCAUCUCCUCCUUCCCUUCAAGCUCUCAAAACAUGCAUACCUCAUCUACUCAACUCACAUAUACUCAAGUAUAUGAUCACAGGGGUCCAAAACUAUCUAAUAACCCCAAACAACAAAUCAACAUAACACAAAAACAUGUAUACAUGCAUAUAUCCGUAAAACUCCCAUCAUGCAUCUCUCUCUUCACACCUCCCAUAAAAACUUCAGAAAACACAUAAAAACAUAGUCAAAAACAUCACUUACCUCCUGGUGAGUGAUCUAAACAAAAGAAAACGGAUCAACUCUUCUUCACCCUCACUAACUCUCCAAAGCUCACUUUUUGCUUCAAAACCUUCAAAACUUGGUAAACGAGCAAACUCCUGCAUGAGCUGCUCAAACUUAGCAAAUAAAGCAUAGGAGACGUGGCCAAGCUUCUGGCAACAAAUUGGACAUAACACCUAUCCACAAUGUUGACUAAGGAUACCCAACAGCUGGCUGGCCAACUCAGUUUCGGCUGCCGAAUCGCAUGCAAAACCAUGCAACAUUCGGGG